This 495-nucleotide ribosomal RNA is filed under the name uncultured bacterium. RNAcentral's name for it is "bacterial SSU rRNA". It matches the Rfam family "Bacterial small subunit ribosomal RNA", at positions 903 to 1397 of the family's 1533-position model. The record is from RNAcentral.
AAAGGAAUAGACGGGGGCCCGCACAAGCAGCGGAGCAUGUGGUUUAAUUCGAAGCAACGCGAAGAACCUUACCAGGUCUUGACAUCGAUGGAAUUUCUGAGAGAUCAGGGAGAGCCUUCGGGCACCAGAAGACAGGUGGUGCAUGGUUGUCGUCAGCUCGUGUCGUGAGAUGUUGGGUUAAGUCCCGCAACGAGCGCAACCCUUGCGAUUGGUUGCUAACAGGUAAAGCUGAGGACUCCAAUAGGACCGCCGGGGACAACUCGGAGGAAGGUGGGGACGACGUCAAAUCAUCAUGCCCCUUAUGACCUGGGCUACACACGUGCUACAAUGGCCACUACAAAGAGGAGCGAAGCCGCAAGGCGGAGCGGAUCUGAAAAAAGUGGUCUCAGUUCGGAUUGAGGGCUGCAACCCGCCCUCAUGAAGUCGGAGUUGCUAGUAAUCGCGAAUCAGCAUGUCGCGGUGAAUACGUUCCCGGGCCUUGUACACACCGCCCGU